This is a small nuclear RNA of Malaya genurostris, 139 nucleotides long. RefSeq annotates it as U4 spliceosomal RNA. The transcript has a single exon. The record is from RefSeq and is a predicted model, not a curated record. Lineage: Eukaryota; Metazoa; Arthropoda; Insecta; Diptera; Culicidae.
AGCUUUGCGCAGUGGCGAUAUCGUAACCAAUGAGGUACAACCGCGGUGCGAUUAUUGCUAGUUGAAAACUAGCAAAUAUCCUCUUCCCGUAACCCUUGUCGAAAUCGCAGAAGUAUUUACGACAUCUAGUAACAACAUG